Molecule: small nucleolar RNA, 152 nt
Filed under: Neotoma lepida (desert woodrat)
Lineage: Eukaryota; Metazoa; Chordata; Mammalia; Rodentia; Cricetidae
Description: Small nucleolar RNA SNORA70
Rfam family: Small nucleolar RNA SNORA70
About the family: snoRNA U70 seems to be exclusive to mammals and is a member of the H/ACA class of snoRNA which contain H (ANANNA) and ACA box motifs. H/ACA box snoRNAs are involved in the conversion of uridines to pseudouridines (5-ribosyluracil) a constituent of structural RNAs (transfer, ribosomal, small nuclear, and small nucleolar).
Source: Rfam by way of RNAcentral
UUUCACCCAACUAAGGUGAAAUUUCACUUUCAGUUGUAACACUAACUUAAAAAACAAAACACNCCAUGGAGAGCUGGUGUGCAAUGGUGGCCAACAGCAGCCUCCUUGGGCACGUACACAGCCUGUUACCCUAAGGGACCUUCANGACAAUU